UGCUUGUAAUGUAGCUGAGGAUGGCCU
This 27-nucleotide non-coding RNA is filed under the name Mus musculus (house mouse). Lineage: Eukaryota; Metazoa; Chordata; Mammalia; Rodentia; Muridae. The record is from RNAcentral.